Molecule: long non-coding RNA, 10638 nt
Filed under: Ananas comosus (pineapple)
Lineage: Eukaryota; Viridiplantae; Streptophyta; Magnoliopsida; Poales; Bromeliaceae
Description: long non-coding RNA (ACOM_LNC029577)
Source: RNAcentral
CAGAAAAGGUCCAACAGGACGGCUAAGACUCCACUCACGUCACAACCUCACUAAAGGUAGGAAAAAGCGUCACUCACUAUCUCACCCGGGCUGCCCAAAACGAACCCACCCUGCCUGUAUCUAGCUGCGCCGCACACCACCCCGAGGAUAGCCGGUUCAAGAACUGUCCAACAGAAACCGCGACACUCAUCGCACUGAAACCUCAUUCCGGAAUGGCAUUCGUGGGCGCGACCUAACAGAGUUUACAAGUGUCUCUGUCAAGUUCGUACUGCUCUCACAGGCUAAGGUCAACUAACGAACUCUAACUGGUCUAACAACUAACAGAUCACGUGCCCUCGGCACAAUCCGUCGCCAAAAAGGCGAUACGGGUCCAACGUCAACCCCGACGGCCCCCAACAGUCCGGAACAGCCUGAAAGCUACUAUGAAAAAAUUCACUCGGCAUCCCAGCACGAGCGUAAAUACAUUCUAAUCUACCUGGGAUACUCACUAUGAUGAUACUGCAACAGUAUAAAAUCAUACAACGGCCCCUAGGGCUAAAUCAGGUAGUUUAACAUAUGACGAUUAAUAUCGCAAGUUUUCUCUUAAGUCUUAUCCAAGUCCAACAUGUAUGUAUAUCCCUAGAUAAAUAGACUAAGCUCCAAUUCAGAUUAUUACAAAACUAAAUCAAUGAACCGAGCAAUUGCGACACGCAAAAGAAUUCCGCUAAUACAUGUUGACUAUAUAGGCACUUAGGAGUAAGCCGAUGAUUAACCCACCUCGGUCGCUAAUCCCGGGCAGCACGGAACUCCCUCGGCUGUGGAACAACCUGUUGGAUCGACUAAAAAUGUCCGAGUCCCGAAAUCGAGCUAUCUCCAACUAUAAACAUUGAAAAUCCUCAAUUCAGUUCAAAAUCCACAGCAGCAGAGUAAAACAGAGCUUCGACCAAGCUAACCUUCACCAAAUCCCGCAAGUAAGGGAUUCGUGGAUUCCUCUCAAAGUCCUGAAUCCAGCGAACCAAGUCUCGUCAAAAUCCGAUGCUCCUGCGUCGAGUACGAGCUAAAAUACUAACAGUCGACGAUGAAUUUCAGCAAAACAGCAUCACUUGAGUUCGAAGUAGUAAGAACUUGCCCAAAAACAAAUGGAAAUGCUGAAUUACCCACCUCGACAACGCCAAGCACCGAUGCGACAGCAAAAACGGCAAAAACCCACGCUCGCCCGGCCUCCUCGCGCUACCCCGGCGUCAAAAGUGUGCUCGAACGGUCCCGCAGCGCGACGUCGGCGACAAACCUUCCAACCGAACUUCUUCCUUGCCUUCAACCGGAUGAGAGUGAGAGAGAGAUGAAGAUGAAGAAAAAGGACUCCUCUCUCUCUCUACACAAAGUUAUAUAGAGAGAGGGAGAGCUACUGAUACAAACGAGGUGGAGAUUUACUCAAAUACCCUCUCACCUACCCCCUUGUACCGGUACACGGGCUCCUGUACCGGUACAAGAGCCAACCCGAGGGCAACCUGCGCGCAGCCUCGCUAGUUGUACCGGUACAGCGACGCUGGUUGUAUCGGUACAGCAAGUAGAGAAAUCUGCUGUUUUGCAGAUUUCUUCGCUAUAAGCUGCCCUCGCGUCGCACGGAGUCCGUUUUGCGUAUAUUUGACGCCAAUGCGACUCGGACUUGUCCCGACACUCUCCAGAGCUGCCGACAAGCCUCCACAAUAGUACACCAGGGAUCUCACAUCCUCCCCCUCUACAAAAAGUUUCGUCCGCAAAACUUAAGUACACCUCAACUCAGGCAUCAAACAACUAGGGAUAGGCCUCCCUCAUCACCGUCUCAGGCUCCCAAGUCGCCUCCCGUUCCUCGUGAUCGCUCCACUGCACUUUCACAUACGGUAUGACCCAGUUGCGCAAUUCUUUCGUCUCCCAAGCAAGAAUCCGCAAAGGUCGCUCCUCGUAUCUCAGAUCCUCGCUAAUCUCUAGUGGAGUGAAGUCGAUCACGUGAGAGGGAUCGAAAACGUAUCUUCUCAAUACUGAGACGUAGAAAACAUCGUAUAUGCCAGCAAAUCGCGGGGGUAGAGUUAUUCUGUAUGCAACCGGUCAAACUCGCUCCAAUAUCUCGAAAGGGCCAACAAAUCGUGGACUGAGCUUUCCACGUACCCCAAAUCAGCGUAUCCCUCUGGACGGCGAGACUUUGAGGAAAACAUGAUCUCCAACCUGAAACUUCAAGUCUCGUCUCCUGGUAUCGGCGUAGCUCCUCUGACGGCUCUGUGCUGUCAAAAGGUGUCGUCGAACAACUCUCACAUUUUCCUCAGCCUCAAGUAGAAUCUCCGGUCCAAGUGUCCUCCUCUCACCCACAUCACUCCAAAACAGAGGGGAUCGACAUCUGCGUCCAUACAACGCCUCAAACGGAGCCAUCUGAAUGCUCGUUUGAUAGUUGUUGUCGUACGCAAACUCAACUAGUCUCACAUGUCGAUACCACCCUCCUCCAAAAUCCAGGACGCAUGCCCUCAGCAUGUCCUCUAGAGUCUGUUUGGUCUUCUCUGAUUGACCAUCAAUCUGUGGGUGGAACGCCGUGCUGAAAUGCAGCUGAGUGCCCAAGGCUGUCUGAAGGCUCCUCCAAAACUGGGAUACAAACCUCGGGUCUCUGUCUGACACAAUAGACACUGGCACGCCGUGCAGCCUGACGAUCUCAUCCAGGUAUAUCUGCGCGAGUCUCUCUCUAGACCAGAUAAUCUGAACUGGUAGGAAGUGAGCAGACUUGGUCAGUCUGUCCACUAUCACCCAAAUAGCGUCACAACCACUCUGUGCUCUAGGCAAUCCCACGACAAAAUCCAUCGUGAUGUACUCCCACUUCCACUCUGGCACUGGCAGACUCUGAAGCUUGCCAGCAGGUACCUGCUGCUCGGCCUUCACCUGUUGGCAAGUCAAACACUGAGCCACAUAUCUGCCAAUGUCCCUCUUCAUUCCAUGCCACCAGAACUGUGCCUUUAAAUCCUUAUACAUUUUGGUUCCCCCACGGUGAACCGUAUAAGGAGAACAAUGAGCCUCUCUCAGAAUGUCUGCUCGAAUCUCUGAAUCCACAGGCACACACAGUCGGUCCCUGUACCGCAGUACUCCCGAACUGUUCACAGCAAAACCCUCAGCCUACCCCCUGUCUAGCUGCUCUCUAAUCCUCAACAAGUACGGAUCUCCACUCUGUUUCUCUCGGAUCCUAUCCAACAGAGUGGGCUGCAAAACUAGAGACGUCAGCCUCGCUGUAGAACCAGGAGGUACUAUCUCGAGUCCCAGCUGCUGUAGCUCCUCGAGUAGGGGUCUCUGCUCAGUGAUCGUCAAACUCAGGCUCUGCACUGACUUCCUGCUCAACGCAUCUGCCACAACAUUCGCCUUGCCAGGAUGAUACUGAAUACUAAUAUCAUAGUCCUUCAGUAACUCCAACCACCGGCGCUGCCUCAAGUUCAGCUCCCUCUGUGUGAACAGACACUUGAGACUUUUAUGAUCAGUAAAGACCUUGCAGUGCUCACCGUACAAGUAAUGCCGCUAGAGCUUCAAAGCAAAUACCACCGCGGCAAGCUCCAAAUCAUGCUAGGGUAAUUCUUCUCAUAAUCCUUUAACUGCCGUGAAGCAUAAGCAAUUACCCUACCAUGCUGCAUCAGCACACAACCAUGCAUCACUGAAGAUCACAAAUCCUUCCCCCAUCACCGGAAAGGUAAGGAUAGGAGCCGAUGUCAACCUCAGUCUCAACUCGUCAAAGCUCCUCAGACAGUCGUCACUCUAGACAAAUCGAAUCCUCUUCCACGUCAAGCGUGUAACGGGCAUGGAAAGCUUCGCAAAGCCUUCCACAAACUGACGGUAAUAUCCUGCCAGUCCCAGGAAACUCCGUACCUCAGUCACCGUCGUCGGUCUAGGCCAAUCUCGAAUCGCUUCAAUCUUCUUCGGGUCCACUGCUAUGCCCUCAGCUAAAAUCACGUGGCCCAAGAAAGCAACCUCCCGCAACCAGAACUCGCACUUCUUCAACUUGGCAUACAACUUCUUCUCUCGCAGAAGCUGUAGCACAAUUCUCAAGUGCUCCUCAUGCUUAGCAUCGCUCCGGGAGUAAAUCAGGAUAUCGUCGAUGAAGACUACCACAAACCUAUUCAAGAACGGCUUGAACACUCUGUUCAUCAAAUCCAUGAAUGCGGCAGGGGCAUUUGUCAAUCCAAAAGGCAUCACUGUAAACUCAUAAUGCCCGUACCGAGUCCGAAAAGUCGUCUUGGGAACAUCCUCGGCCCUCACCCUCAACUGGUGGUAACCUGACUGGAGAUCAAUCUUCGAAAAGACAUAAGAUCCCUGCAACUGAUCAAACAAAUCAUCAAUACGCGGCAAGGGAUACUUAUUCUUGAUGGUCACUUUAUUCAACUCCUGGUAAUCCACACACAGCCUAAGUGAACCAUCCUUCUACUUCACAAACAACACCGGCGCUCCCCAAGGCGAAAACACUAGUUCUCACAAACCCUCUAUCAUCAAAUCCUGCAGCUGCGCCUUUAGCUCUCUCAGCUCUGCUGGCGUCAUUCUAUAAGGUACCUUCGAGAUUGGUGCAGUUCCAGGAACUACAUCAAUCAUAAACUCAAUCUCCCUUUUCGGCGGCAACGUAGUCAACUCAGGGGAAAACACAUCCGAAAACUCGCGGACUAUAGGGAUAUCCUCGAGUGCCGGCGCCGCCGUAGGUACCUCCACAACUGUCGCAAGAAAAGCGAUACACCCACUACUCAGCAUUUGUCGAGCUCUCGCCGAAGAUAUCCAUGUGGCAAACAACGUACUCCUGCAGCCUCCGAACGUAAACUCCGUCUGGCCUGGCUCGCAGAACGUCACCGUCCUCGCUCCACAGUCUAUCGUAGUAUAGUACCGCGCCAGCGAAUCCAUACCGAGCACGAUGUCGAAGUCCUGCAGCUGCCCUAACACGAACAGGUCUGCGGGCAUAAACCAUGAAUUUAACUGCACCGGACACGACCAACAACACUCUGCAACCUGUAAAACAUGGUCGGGGAUAUGCACCUCUCGUGCCAAAGACAAUGACCCUAACUCUAGACCAUGCAACAAUACAAAUGCUCGGCUAACAAAAGAAUGCGAGGUACCGGUACCAACUAAAGUAUGAGUACAAAUGCCGAAAAUCACAGUAAUACCUGCCACUACACGAUCGGCUGCUGAAGAGUCCUCCCGGCGGUAACUUGGUGGUGCUCCAAAAGUCUGCUGGUCAGCUGGCUGCGCUGAUGCAAUGGAUAGCGCUGGAAAUGUCGCUCUAGGACACGCUGACCUCACAUGUCCUGGCUGUCCACAAGUGUAGCAGCGGCCCUCUUUCUGCUCAUAUUGUCGGGGCCAGUGUGGUCCUCCACAAAUCACGCACCGCAGCGUCCUCGGUGACGGUCCCUGCUGAAGCAAUCCCCUGGAAUGCUGACGCCCCGAUGAACCACGACCCUGAGAGCAAGAUCGAGAAAGCCUCAGCGGACGUCUGCUACUCGCCUGUCCUCCAUUAUCUGGAAAAGGGCGCUUCCUGUCUUGGCUCUGCCCCGGUGCCAUAGUCCGCUCCUGGACAGGUGUAACUCCGUGUCCCACCAAGAGUGCCUGCUGCACAGAUGCUCCUGUCUCAACGCCUAAAAACUAAGUGAUAAUCUCAUAAAUCCUCUGCAAUAGUACACUCUGCUACUUGAUCACCUCUGCCAGGGCAGCCAACUGCUCUCUCAAAUCAGGGGGUACACUUGCCUCCGGUCGUGCACUCGGCUCUGCCUGGUCAGGCAUCUUUAGCGGUGCGACUCGAUCCUUGGUCGACGGUCGACCACGGCAGCGAUCUGAAAGAAACAGAACGGGGUCAGAUAACACACAAACACUCUCGACCCAAUCAAUGAAAGUCUAGAAGGCAGCCCCUGUUUUCCUCCAAAAUUAUGUCGUCUGCAGCCAACAUAAUUUCUCAGGCCAAAACAGGUACUCCUUCAAUCACUCACCCCACUCACGGAGGAGUUAGAACAACUAAUCAGUGACUUUCGCAAUUAAAUUACGCCUCUCGCAUUUUGCUUUCCUAAGGUUUGCCAAACUUAGGUUCUCUAGGUCCCAACGACCUAAUGCUAAGCUCUGAUACCAAUUUAAUCUGUCACGCCCCGGAUUACACGUUCCCCGAGCACGCCGACAAAUCCGCCGUAUACAAAGAAUUUUUUCCUGUAUACGAAGCGACAGCUGUACCUGUAAAACAUACAAUACUACAAACAACAGUAUAGAGCUGCUAGAAGAACUAAUAAAGUAAAAGAAAUCGAGUUCCAUAUACAUACACUGAAUCCCAUAGUACAAAACUACUCGUGCUGGCGAGUUAAAAGUCUGUAUGUACAUGAACCCAAACCAAAACAUCUACCUGCAGUAGGGGUGCCUCUAGCUCUGCUCCUCGGGUAGGGCUCUAACUCGCGACGCCCUUGCUUAGAUCCUGAUCAGCAAUAGCAGCAGCCGAAGACGAAGGCUCUACAAAAACGGGGUAACAACUGGGCGUGAGAACUAUUGUAGAAACAAGUAGUCCUCAGUGGGUGAAGCCCUCAACAAUCAUCGGUCCACCCACUAAGUCUACAGAAGGUAACAAGGCUAGCAGGAAAAGCUGGAAAGAAAUCUACAGCUACAUAUCGCUAUACUAGCAUGAUCUACACUUACCAACUGUAGUAAAAGUCACAACUGACUCAAUCUCACUAGGGACUGUGAACACACCCGUCCCGCCUGUCGGAUCGAACCCGUAACCUACUCCAAGAGUAGCUGGUGGAGAAAACUCUCUAGGGACUGUGAAUACACCCAUCCCGUCUAAUUAGGUGACACCGUAGCUCAAGGUAACCGGCGGAGAAGACUCUCUAGAGACUGUGAAUACACCUGUUUCAUCUACUAGACUACACCGUAUCUCAAGAGUAACCGGCGGAGAAAACUCUCUAAAGACUGUGAAUACACCUGUCUCGUCUAAUUAGACUACACCGUAUCUCAAGAGUAGUCGAUUCCAGAAAAGGUCCAACAGGACGGCUAAGACUCCACUCACGUCACAACCUCACUAAAGGUAGGGAAAAGCGUCACUCACUAUCUCACCCGAGCUGCCCAAAACGGACCCACCCUGCCUGUAUCUAGCUGCGCCGUACACCACCCCAAGGGUAGCCGGCUCAAGAACUGUCCAACAGAAACUGCGACACUCAUCGCACUGAAACUUCAUUCCGGAAUGGCAUUCGUGGGCGCGACCCAACCGAGUUUACAAAGGUCUCUGUCAAGUUCGUACUGCUCUCACAGGCUAAGGUCAAGUAACCAACUCUAACUGGUCUAAUAACUAACAGAUCACGUGCCCUCGGCAUAAUCAGUCGCCAAAAAGGCGAUGCGGGUCCACCGUCAACCCCGACGGCCCCAACAGUCCGGAACAGCCUGAAAGCUACUAUAAAAAAAUUCACUCGGCAUCCCAGCACGAGCGUAAAUACAUUCUAAUCUACCUGGGAUACUCACUAUGAUAAUACUGCAACAGUAUAAAAUCAUGCAACGGCCCCUAGGGCUAAAUCAAGUAGUUUAACAUACGACGAUUAAUAUCGCAAGUUUUCUCCUAAGUCUUAUCCAAGUCUAACAUGUAUGUAUAUCCGUAGAUAAAUAGACUAAGCUCCAAUUCAGAUUAUUACAAAACUAAAUCAAUGAACCGAGCAAUUGCGACACGCAAAAGAAUUCCGCUAAUACAUGUUGACUAUAUAGGCACUUAGGAGUAAGACGAUGAUUAACCCACCUCGGUCGCUAAUCCCGGGCAGCACGGAACUCCCUCGGCUGCGGAACAACCUGCUGGAUCAACUGAAAAUAUCCGAGUCCCGAAAUCGAGCUAUCUCCAACUAUAAACAUCGAAAAUCCUCAAUUCAGUCCAAAAUCCACAGCAGCAGAGUAAAACAGAGCUUCGACCAAGCUAACCUUCACCAAAUUCCACAAGUAAGGGCUUCGUGGAUUCCUCUCGAAGUUCUAAAUCCAGCAAACCAAGUCUCGUCAAAAUUCGAUGCUCCUGCGUCGAGUACGAGUUGAAAUACUAACAGUCGACGAUGAAUUUCAGCAAAACAGCAUCACUUGAGUUCGAAGUAGUAAGAACUAGCCCAAAAACAAAUGGAAAUGCUGAAUUACCAACCUCGACAACGCCAAGCACCGAUGCGAUAGCAAGAACGGCGGAAACCCACGCUCGCCUGGCCUCCUCGCGCUACCCCAGGGUCAAAAGUGUGCUCGAACGGUCCCGCGGCGCGACGUCGGCAGCAAACCUUCCAACCGAGCUUCUUCCUUGCCUUCAACCGGAUGAGAGUGAGAGAGAGAUGAAGAUGAAGCAAAAAGACUCCUCUCUCUCUCUACACAAAGCUAUAUAGAGAGAGCGAGAGCUGCUGAUACAAACGAGGUGGAGAUUUACUCAAAUACCCUCUCACCUACUCCCUUGUACCGGUACACGGGCUCCUGUACCGGUACAAGAGCCAACCCGAGGGCAACCUGCGCGCAGCCUCGCUGGUUGUACCGGUACAGCCACGCUGGUUGUACCGGUACAGCAAGCAGAGAAAUCUGCUGUUUUACAGAUUUCUUCGCUAUAAGCUGCCCUCGCGUCGCACAGAGUCCGUUUUGCGUCUAUUUGACGCCAACGCGACUCGGACUUGUCCCGACACUCUCCAGAGCUGCCGACAAGCCUCCACAACAGUACACCAGGGAUCUCACAGGUUUGGGUUCACAUAUUUGAAAAUUCAAAACGAAUUUGAUCCGCUGACAUCGCUAACUAUUACUUUUUUUUAUCACUAAUCUUAACCUUUUUAAUUUUUACGUUUAAAAUAUUUAUUAUCUUUCACGAUGUCAGAUGUUAAAUUAUUUAUCCCCUCGAAUUCAGACUCAGAUUUGGAUGUUAUAUUUACAAUAUUUUUGAAUUCCGAUACGGAUACAUCAAAGUAUUUCGGACUCGGAUUCGAAUAUUUGAGAAUUAAUAUAAGUUAUUAAUUCAUAUAUAGUGUAAAAAAAAAAAAAAAAUGGCUAGUAUAGCUGAAAUGGUAGUGAGCUUUCUCGUAUAGAUCUACUCCACACUAAAAUCUCCCACUCUAUACAAUUGUCCCACUGGUGAUAUACGACAUUCACUCCAUAUAUAACCCCUACACGCAAAUGAGGAUCCAAAAGAGAACAAAACCCUCCUGAAUAGGACCAUCUCCUUAAUCCAGUGUCUUGCUUGUUAAAUUUCUCUCGUCUCCUCUUAUUUACUUAAGAACCAUAAGUUAAUUGAUCAUUUCGUCGACGCAAACAGAAGCUAAAUAAAUAGAAAUAAGCAAUCUUUAUUUCAGAUGUGUGAUUAGUUAAUUCACAGGUGGAACUAAUUUCUAUUUUAUGAGCAAUGUAAUCUCGCAACACGCUGUAGUCAUCUGAACAAGUACGGGUUGUCUACACAUUUAUCAUAUGAACAAGUUACACGAGAAUAAUGCGUGCAGUAUGGGUAUUUUCUUUAGGCUUAGUUUGGUAUUGAAGCCUAUCCAACGCUAUUAGAUAAAAUAGAGUUGAAGAAAAAGCAUAUAGGGAUAUAUUUCUGCAUUCUCCGGUGGGAAUAUAUCGUAACUGACUAAUCGAGAUAUACGGAACACAAUAUUACUGUCACGCCCCGGAUAUCACGUUCCCCGGGCACGCCGACAAAUCCGCCGUAUACAAAGGAAUUUCUACUAUAUACGAAGCGAUAGCUGUACCUGUAAAAAUACAAUACUACAACUAGUAGUAUAGAGCUGUAAGGAACAAAACAUAACCUGAUAGCAAGUAAAAGUUCACUAUACAUACAACAUCUGUAUACAAAAGCUCGCUUCACGAUAAACAGUAAUGAUAGUAUGUAUAAGAACUCAAAAACUACAACAACCUGUAGCUGGUACUUCACUAGCUCUGGCUCGUCUGGUAGGGCUCUAACUCGCGACGCCCUUGCCACGAUCAAUCUGAGAGGGGGCAACAGUCGGCACCGAAGGCUCUGCAAAAGAAGGGUAACAACUGGGCGUGAGAACUACUGUAAAAACAAGUAGUCCUCAGUGGAUGCCGCCCUCAAUAUUAUCGGUCCACCCACUAAGUCUACAGAAGGGAGCAAAGAUAGUAGAAGAAUGCUGAAAGGAAAUCUACAGCUACAAGUCACUACACUAUCAUACUCUAUACUAACCAAUUGUAGAAAAUGUCAAUUCUGACCCAAUCCAACUGGUACUGUAAGCAUACCCGUCCCUGGGACUGUAAACACACCCGUCCCGCCCGGUUGCGACUACAGCUGUCCGUGGAGAGCAAGUCCAACCUGCACGAAUGACACCAACACGAAAGCACAACGCCCGUCUCCGAAGUGGCACUCGUGGGAGCUACCCAACCGAGUAUGCAACGUAUCUCUGUCGAGCUCAAUCAGGCUCUCACAAGCCAAAGUCAAGUAACCAGGUCCAACUGAUCUAACAACUAACAGGUCACGUGCCCUCGGCACAAUCUGACGCCAAAACGGCGAUAGGGGUCCACCGUCAACCCCGACGGCCCCCAACAGUUCGGAACAGUCUGAACAUUACUGUAAAAAUACACUCGGCAUCCCAGCACGAGCGUAAGUGAAAUCUAAACUACCUGGGGUAUCGACAACACUGAUACUGCAGCAAUACAAAAUAACAACGGCUCCUAGAGCUAAAUCAGGUAGUUUAAGUAUAUGAC